Long non-coding RNA from Nerophis lumbriciformis (worm pipefish), 486 nucleotides. RefSeq lists it as uncharacterized. The record is from RefSeq and is a predicted model, not a curated record. NCBI's taxonomy places the organism in Eukaryota, Metazoa, Chordata, Actinopteri, Syngnathiformes, Syngnathidae.
ACGCUCACAGGGCACAGAGGAGGCGUCAGUGCGACACAGUUCGCGUAUCGGUCACGUGACCAAAACAGCUCAUGAUCGGUCACGUGACUUUCUAAAAGCGGUACGCGCACCGACACAGGGUUUUGCUCUAUGAGCUCGACGCAUGCGCCGAUGCAUCGGUGUUGCCGGACCCAUCACUAGAGCCGGCAUGUUCGAUUAACUAUCGGGGCGUGCUUGGUUGGUUGUUUUGCCCUCGAUUACUCCAGCCGGAACUGGAGGCCACGCCCCCUCCAGCUCCAUGCGGACCUGAGUGAGGACAGCCUUUUUUCACGACGGGAGGACAACAGGGUGACAAGAACUAAAUCAUCCAGACUAGAGACCGAGCUGGGGAAAGAGGAGAUGACCCCCCCGCUGAAGCCAAGGCCGGCGAGCAAAGUACUGGUCACCACGGACGCCACUGUUGCUUGACUACCGCUGGAGGACGGUCCAAUGCCUGUCGCCAUGGAG